AACGAACGCUGGCGGCAUGCCUAACACAUGCAAGUCGAACGAGAUCUUCGGGUCUAGUGGCGCACGGGUGCGUAACGCGUGGGAAUCUGCCCUUUGGUUCGGAAUAACAGUUGGAAACGACUGCUAAUACCGGAUGAUGACGAAAGUCCAAAGAUUUAUCGCCAGAGGAUGAGCCCGCGUAGGAUUAGCUAGUUGGUGUGGUAAAGGCGCACCAAGGCGACGAUCCUUAGCUGGUCUGAGAGGAUGAUCAGCCACACUGGACUGAGACACGGCCCAGUCUCCUACGGGGGGCAGCAGUGGGAAAUAUUGGACAAUGGGCGAAAGCCUGAUCCAGCAAUGCCGCGUGAGUGAUGAAGGCCUUAGGGUUGUAAAGCCCUUUUACCCGGGAUGAUAAUGACAGUACCGGGAGAAUAAGCUCCGGCUAACUCCGUGCCAGCAGCCGCCGUAA
This 448-nucleotide ribosomal RNA is filed under the name uncultured bacterium. Its description in RNAcentral is "partial 16S ribosomal RNA". It matches the Rfam family "Bacterial small subunit ribosomal RNA", at positions 29 to 523 of the family's 1533-position model. The record is from RNAcentral.